Carassius gibelio (silver crucian carp) is the source of this 2143-nucleotide long non-coding RNA. RefSeq lists it as uncharacterized. The transcript is spliced from 3 exons. The record is from RefSeq and is a predicted model, not a curated record. Lineage: Eukaryota; Metazoa; Chordata; Actinopteri; Cypriniformes; Cyprinidae.
GAUUCGAACGUUAUCACUCGAUUGAAUGGGGCGUUAUCAGCGGUUAUCAGCCCAUAGCUAUGAGCCAGGAGGGGCCUCCUGCGCCUACUAGUAGGCUCAGAAGGCCGUGAUCAUCCAUCCAAAUGGUUGAUCACCAACAAAUAUACAAGAGAAGACUCCAGAUCCAAUCCCAGAAUUCCUGCUCACCGGUAAUCGGAAGUCUACUGGACGAAAGCGGCAACGUUGCGAUAUUUCCUGCUUAAUAUUUUCAGAUAUGGGAAAAGCUCUUAAGAUGACCACACGUUUCAGGAACGUUAAAAUUAAGUUGGUGAGGAGGUCUAUUGCGGGCCCUGCAAAGUUUUCUUACCUCAGUCAAGGUCUUCCCCAGCCCAGCUACAAACAGACCCACCCUUCAGACCCUUCUAUUACAUCUCAACCUGCUGAACCUGAUGAUGCGACACAGAGCUGUUCUGAGAGUGCAUACAGUAAGGCAAAGAAGAGAGAGCUUCAUGCCUGGGAUGCAGUCAAGGAGGAGAUGCUUAAGGUGUCGUUUGAAUGUCGUCGGAAUCCACUGACGGCUCUGCACCGUUACAGUCUAGAUGUGUGCGUGUGAACCAGAAGCCUGCACUCUGCUGAGAUAUGGGCUCUGACCAGCAACAGCCACAAGCCCCAGACAGACAGCCUUCUCCAUCCCUCUGAUAGAGCUUUCUGUUUCUCUGUCACUGGAGGGUCAGGUUUCUAUUGAGGGUUUUUGCAACACUCCAUAUCCCAUUUUAGGCAUCACCACUUCCGACAAAGAAGUUUGGUUAAUAUUUGCCCACAAUUAAAUUAUGGAACCAUAUGCCCAGCAUGUCCAAAGGUUGGUUAUAAUUCUAGCGUGGUUCUUGUUUGAUUAAAUUAAUGGCAUAGAAUUAAAAUCUGAAUUAAUAUCAAACUAAGUUAAUUUGUUUAUGUAGUAUUAUAAUAGAAGUAAUAGUAUAAAUGUAUAAACCUGGUGCGGGUACACAACCAGUGUUACUGUAAGUGUUUGUUUUCCAGGCGGCUGGAGAUAUGAUUGUCACAUUGGAUGCCAACUUUGGCCUUGUGAGGAAUCAAAGCUCUGGGACAAGUGCGGUUGAUCCAUUACACAGAACCCGCAUGAGUAAUACCUGCUAUCACAUCUUGACAGCUCAAAGCCUCAAGAGGUUAAUCAUUGUUGCAGAAUUUCAUGGCCUAAUCCAUGAAAUAUUAAUUAAACUUGUGAAAAAGAUCACUUCCCAUAAAUCUAUGUUUUCCUUAAAUCUUUAGGACUGCAGUAAGCUGCUCUCAUUCAAGGUAUCUAACUGCUGGAAAGAAAAUGACAUCAAGCCAUUGUGAUGUUUCACCCACAUGUACAAGACAUUAUAGACAUAUAAUAUAAUAUAAUUAUAAUAUAUAAAUAAUUUAAUUACUUUACUGCAUUACUUGUGCAGACAUGUUGUUUUACUAGGUCUGAUCUCUUUUAAAGCUUAGGCACUGUAUUUAAGCAUACAUAUCACCACUAGUCUGUCUGUAUGAGUACAAAAUAAAAAAAUAAACUGUCUAUAAUUGUUACUGUACAAGCACAGUAAAAUAUUUAUAUAAAAUAUAUUGCACUACUGUUAUUUUGCAUAGAAUACAUUGUUCAACAAUAUUUUUGCACACUCAUCCAACUGCAUUUAUUACCACUGUUCUCAUGUUCCUGCGGUUCAUAAUGUAUAUAUAAUCCUUCAUUGCUCUGUUCAUAAUGUACAUACAAUCCCUACAUUGCAUUCAUAUUUAUAUUCUGUAUAUACUCUGAUCAAUAUUGUAUAUAGCAACUCCACUGUACAUUCUGUAUAUCAUAGCUUUACUUACUCUGCACUUUUAUGUAUAUAAAACACUAUAUUCUUGCACUUCUGGUUAGAUGCUAACUGCAUUUCAUUAGCUCUGUACUGUACUCUGCAUAAUGACAAUAAAGUUGAAUCUAAUCUAAUCUAAAAAAAAAAAAUGUGUUUACCAUAAUGUAAUAUGUUAUUUACUGUAAUGUACAAAUGUGGUCAAUGUGUAGGAGGUGUUUUGUUUUUUGUGAGCUCACCAUCAAAAUCCCCUUCGACUGAGUUGAAAUGACAAUAAAUUAUUGGAUCUUGAAUCCUCUGAAGCAAAUAUGAGUUUGUAAAAAAAUAAA